This 306-nucleotide ribosomal RNA is filed under the name uncultured bacterium. Its description in RNAcentral is "partial 16S ribosomal RNA". It matches the Rfam family "Bacterial small subunit ribosomal RNA", at positions 507 to 808 of the family's 1533-position model. The record is from RNAcentral.
GACAGCAGUCGCCGCGGUAAUACGUAGGUCCCGAGCGUUGUCCGGAUUUAUUGGGCGUAAAGCGAGCGCAGGCGGUUAGAUAAGUCUGAAGUUAAAGACUGUGGCUUAACCAUAGUACGCUUUGGAAACUGUCAAACUUGAGUGCAGAAGGGGAGAGUGGAAUUCCAUGUGUAGCGGUGAAAUGCGUAGAUAUAUGGAGGAACACCGGUGGCGAAAGCGGCUCUCUGGUCUGUAACUGACGCUGAGGCUCGAAAGCGUGGGGAGCGAACAGGAUUAGAUACCCGGGUAGUCCCUGUCUCUUAUACA